UGCCAGCCGCCGCGGUAAGACGGAGGGUCCUAGCGUUGUUCGGAAUGACUGGGCGUAAAGGGUACGUAGGCGGUUUGGUCAGUUAGAUGUGAAAGCCCAGGGCUCAACCUUGGAACUGCAUUUAAUACUGCCAGACUUGAGAUCGGAAGAGGAAAGCGGAAUUUCUAGUGUAGAGGUAAAAUUCGUAGAUAUUAGAAGGAACAUCAGAGGCGAAGGCGGCUUUCUGGUCCGAUACUGACGCUGAGAUGCGAAAGCGUGGGGGGCGAACAGGAUUAGAUA
Molecule: ribosomal RNA, 279 nt
Filed under: uncultured bacterium
Lineage: Bacteria
Description: partial 16S ribosomal RNA
Rfam family: Bacterial small subunit ribosomal RNA
Source: RNAcentral